UUCCGUAGGGGUAACCUGCGGAGGGAUCAUUACCGAGUUUACAACUCCCAAACCCCUGUGAACAUACCACUUGUUGCCUCGGCGGAUCAGCCCGCUCCCGGUAAAACGGGACGGCCCGCCAGAGGACCCCUAAACUCUGUUUCUAUAUGUAACUUCUGAGUAAAACCAUAAAUAAAUCAAAACUUUCAACAACGGAUCUCUUGGUUCUGGCAUCGAUGAAGAACGCAGCAAAAUGCGAUAAGUAAUGUGAAUUGCAGAAUUCAGUGAAUCAUCGAAUCUUUGAACGCACAUUGCGCCCGCCAGUAUUCUGGCGGGCAUGCCUGUUCGAGCGUCAUUUCAACCCUCAAGCACAGCUUGGUGUUGGGACUCGCGUUAAUUCGCGUUCCUCAAAUUGAUUGGCGGUCACGUCGAGCUUCCAUAGCGUAGUAGUAAAACCCUCGUUACUGGUAAUCGUCGCGGCCACGCCGUUAAACCCCAACUUCUGAAUGUUGACCUCGGAUCAGGUAGGAAUACCCGCUGAACUUAAGCAUAUCAAAAGCCGGAGGAG
This 547-nucleotide ribosomal RNA is filed under the name Fusarium oxysporum f. sp. ciceris. RNAcentral describes it as "eukaryotic LSU rRNA". The stretch from base 181 to 334 matches the Rfam family "5.8S ribosomal RNA". The record is from RNAcentral. Lineage: Eukaryota; Fungi; Ascomycota; Sordariomycetes; Hypocreales; Nectriaceae.